CCAUUUUUUUCCAUUGUGAAUUCAUCCCUUCAAAAUCUCCCUUUCUUUCCCUUGUGAAGACAUCGUUGCCACUUCCACCAUCUUCACCGCCGUUCCCACGACCUGUGGCAUUCCCUGCCACACCCAAUGUCUUGUCCCGCCACUUGCACCAUCUUAAUGAGUGUUGUGCCUCCGUUCCCAGCUACUCGAGUCUGCUUCUGCAGGUUGCCAGGAUCUGCGUCUCGAUUGCUUCUCUAGUUACUAUCCCCUCUUGUGGCUAGAGAUCUGAGCCAAGAGUAGAGGAAUCUUGAUGGACUCCAAAUAGAAAAGAAAGAGAAGUUUAAGAAAAAAAAUUGAAAAUACUGCAGACAGUUGCUGCUUGCGGGCUGCGUGCGCGCUGCUGGGACUGAAAUAUAUAUUUUACGACCCAUUUGUCGUAAAGUACAACAUGAAUGGACUUGAGCAGACCAUGCACGUGUUGAUUAACAUGUUGGUCCAAUACAAGAUAAUGACGGAAAAGUCUGCAGCGUCGGUGUUGGUCGGGGAGGCUUCGAUCUCUAAAGCGAAAGGCAAAGGGGCCAAACAUUGGAAGAGAAAAAAUGAUAAGGCAAAAGCCGCUGCAAGCGCUUUGAGCUCCUGUUGCCCCUAUGGGGAUGGGAAAAGAUAAAGGGAAGGUGAGCUCCAAGUUAAUAAGGCCAAAUGAUGUCUGUAUGCAUUAUCGAGAAAAGGGCCAUUGGAAAAGGGAGUGCCCCAAGCUCCUCACCAGUGCAAGUACAAUUUUUAUUGAGGUUAACAUGAUAACUAACUUUGCUUCUUGGGUAUCGGAUACUGGCUAUGGAGUUCACAUCUGCAAUAAUUUGCAGGUGCUGGAAAGAAGCAGAUAAUUAAGUAAAGACAAGGUGGUCCUGAACGUGGCGAUGGAAAGGUGUUGUUGGUGAAGCUGUAGGGAUAGUCCACUUAGCUAUUAGUGAUCAAGUUAGGAUAUAGUUGAAAGAUUGCUAUUAUGUACCUAGCAUGAUCAAGAAUAUCAUUUCCAUUUGAUUUUUGGACAAUGUUGGUUUUGA
Molecule: non-coding RNA, 1043 nt
Organism: Sesamum indicum (sesame)
Lineage: Eukaryota; Viridiplantae; Streptophyta; Magnoliopsida; Lamiales; Pedaliaceae
Source: RefSeq, a predicted model, not a curated record